Anguilla rostrata (American eel) is the source of this 914-nucleotide long non-coding RNA. RefSeq lists it as uncharacterized. Lineage: Eukaryota; Metazoa; Chordata; Actinopteri; Anguilliformes; Anguillidae. The transcript has 3 exons. The record is from RefSeq and is a predicted model, not a curated record.
CCUGCCAUCCCAAUACCUGUCAAUUUUGUUUUCUUUUUUGUGAUGGUCAUAAUUUAGAAGCAGAAACAAAUUUUGCUCAGAGGGGGUAUACUCAUUUGCAACAUGGCUUUUUAUAAUGUUGGUUAAAAAAACAUGCUUUCCUGUUUAGCAUUGCAGUAUUGCAGUGUUGCUGAAACACUACAUAAUAUCUUUUUUAUUUGUAAAGCGAUAAAGCUGGAUUUCCAUUUUUCAGAGAGGGUGUACUCCUUCAUGAUGUGCACUGUAACAUUGCUGUGUCCCAAGCAUGGUGCCCUAAAAUUGGGGGGAUUGUGUAUAAAAAGGGCUGUAAUUCAUACACUGUUCACCUGAUAUGCAUGUAAAUACUUUUUUUUAUUACAAAUCUCAAAUUGUGGAGUACAGAGGCAAAUCAAUAAAUGAUGGGUCUUUGUCCCAAACAUUAUGGAGGGCACUGUAUCCCUAAUAAUAUUUAAAUGCGUUUAAUUUCAUAUUGUUUGUUCUCUGCAGGUUUCUGCCUCUGCUGCUGACGUUGAGAGGUCCUUAACUUUGCCUGACAGUCCUCGAUUGAUUGUUCUCGAACUCGCCUCCGCAGGCGAGGACCCCGUGGCGACGGAACCUCUCCAAACUUCGCUAUCCCUCACUGACCCCCCUGUGACGACUUCACGGUCGCAGGAGGGCUAUGGAACUGCCAGUCUGCUACGCGGAAGGCUGACUUCAUUUCAGCCUACGCGUCCCUCUUCUCCCUACAUUUCCUUGCCCUCACUGAGACCUGGAUCACACCAGGCAACACUGCAACCCCUGCAGCCCUCUCCUCCUCCUUCUCCUUUUCUCACGCCCUCCGCCCGUCUGGCCGUGGUGGGGGCACAGGGCCCCUGGGAAGCUUCCUCGAUGAGCUCAACACCCUGCUCAGCUCCUUC